CAGUAGCCACGGGAAUACGUAGGGUGCAAGCGUUAAUCGGAAUUACUGGGCGUAAAGCGUGCGCAGGCGGUUAUAUAAGACAGAUGUGAAAUCCCCGGGCUCAACCUGGGAACUGCAUUUGUGACUGUAUAGCUAGAGUACGGCAGAGGGGGAUGGAAUUCCGCGUGUAGCAGUGAAAUGCGUAGAUAUGCGGAGGAACACCGAUAGCGAAGGCAAUCCCCUGGGCCUGUACUGACGCUCAUGCACGAAAGCGUGGGGAGCAAACAGGAUUAGAUACCCCCGUAGUCCCUGUCUUUUAUAU
This 301-nucleotide ribosomal RNA is filed under the name uncultured bacterium. Its description in RNAcentral is "partial 16S ribosomal RNA". It matches the Rfam family "Bacterial small subunit ribosomal RNA", at positions 509 to 809 of the family's 1533-position model. The record is from RNAcentral.